CUACGUGCCAGCAGCCGCGGUAAUACGUAUGUCACAAGCGUUAUCCGGAUUUAUUGGGCGUAAAGCGCGUCUAGGUGGUUAUGUAAGUCUGAUGUGAAAAUGCAGGGCUCAACUCUGUAUUGCGUUGGAAACUGCAUGACUAGAGUACUGGAGAGGUAAGCGGAACUACAAGUGUAGAGGUGAAAUUCGUAGAUAUUUGUAGGAAUGCCGAUGGGGAAGCCAGCUUACUGGACAGAUACUGACGCUAAAGCGCGAAAGCGUGGGUAGCAAACAGGAUUAGAUACCCUGGUAGUCCACGCCGUAAACGAUGAUUACUAGGUGUUGGGGGUCGAACCUCAGCGCCCAAGCUAACGCGAUAAGUAAUCCGCCUGGGGAGUACGUACGCAAGUAUGAAACUCAAAGGAAUUGACGGGGACCCGCACAAGCGGUGGAGCAUGUGGUUUAAUUCGACGCAACGCGAGGAACCUUACCAGGUCUUGACAUCCCUCUGACCGCUCUAGAGAUAGAGUUUUC
Molecule: ribosomal RNA, 513 nt
Filed under: uncultured bacterium
Lineage: Bacteria
Description: bacterial SSU rRNA
Rfam family: Bacterial small subunit ribosomal RNA
Source: RNAcentral